This is a long non-coding RNA of Centrocercus urophasianus (Greater sage-grouse), 783 nucleotides long. RefSeq lists it as uncharacterized. The record is from RefSeq and is a predicted model, not a curated record. NCBI's taxonomy places the organism in Eukaryota, Metazoa, Chordata, Aves, Galliformes, Phasianidae. The transcript is spliced from 4 exons.
GCAUGAUGAUUCAGGAGAAACAGCUGUUCAGGAUCAGAGGGGACACAGGCAAUGGGGCUUGUGCUGGGGGAGAUCAGGGAGAGGAGGACACUCAGACUGGUGAAGCCUCAGCAUUUCAUGAGCAUUACAGUGCAUGGAGCUGGCUGGUGCAUCCCACCCAACAUUUCCUCAGUCCACGCGUUUUUCCUCAUUCAGACAUAGGGUGAUUUAUGGGGCUGCCUUGCCUAUGGAGGCAGCCGAGCUACAAGGUCAGAAUGGAGAUCUGUUUGCAAAACAGAGUAAAGCAAGACAAAGCAGGAGAUGACAAGCCCCUGAGGAAAAAAAAACAAGUUGCAAGAGGCUAAACAGAAGAUAAGAGCUACAUAACAGAAAAGAUGCUCUCAAAAUACAUGCCAAGGACAGCAAAAUAAAUAGGAUCUUGACCCCUGAAGUCACUGUCAGCUUCUUCCCAGCACAAAGUCUAAUUAAAGACACUAGUGAUCUGCUGGAAAUUUUGUUGGGCUCUGUGAAAACUGUGCAUCAGAAUUUGUUUAGAGAAUGUGGUGUGUUUAUUCAGAGAAUUAACUCAAAACAGCUGAAAUUCUUAGUUAAAAAUACUAUGGGUUUGAUCAAUAACGUAUACUUUGUUUUUUAAUCUGCUUUUAUGUUAAUAAAUUCUCCACUCUUAGGUACUUAUUUCUCCUUCUAAUUCUCCUCAUGCUUUUAGCUAUCAUUUUCCUCCUUCUUACAGAAAUGUUCUACUCCUAUUCUAACUAUGGAAAUAAAUCAUCAGUUACAACACUA